Molecule: small nuclear RNA, 315 nt
Filed under: Erinaceus europaeus (western European hedgehog)
Lineage: Eukaryota; Metazoa; Chordata; Mammalia; Eulipotyphla; Erinaceidae
Description: 7SK RNA
Rfam family: 7SK RNA
About the family: 7SK was discovered as an abundant small nuclear RNA in the mid-70s but a possible function has only recently been suggested. Two independent studies have found that 7SK RNA binds the CDK9/cyclin T complex (known as elongation factor P-TEFb).
Source: Rfam by way of RNAcentral
GCAUGUGAGGGCAAUCUGGCUGUGACAUCUGUCACCCCAUUGAUUGUCAGGUUGAUUUGGCUGAUCUGGCUGGCUAGGCGGGUGUCCCCUUCCACCCUCACUGCUCCAUGUGUGUCCCUUCCAAAACUGCAUGCUCAGUGGAAGAGGAUGGCCUUCCCUGAAUAGAGACGGACUGGUCUUUGAUUGAGGGUAUACAAGUAGUCGCACUCCCCUGCUAGAACCUCCAAACAAGCUCUCAAGAUACAAGUAUAUGUAAAUAUCAUAAAAGGACAUAAUUUUUUUUGAAGUUUUUUUUAUUUAUAAACCGGAAACACU